UGGGGAAUAUUGCACAAUGGGCGCAAGCCUGAUGCAGCCAUGCCGCGUGUGUGAAGAAGGCCUUCGGGUUGUAAAGCACUUUCAGCGGGGAGGAAGGCGAUAAGGGUAAUAACCUUGUCGAUUGACGUUACCCGCAGAAGAAGCACCGGCUAACUCCGUGCCAGCAGCCGCGGUAAUACGGAGGGUGCAAGCGUUAAUCGGAAUUACUGGGCGUAAAGCGCACGCAGGAGGUCUGUCAAGUCGGAGGUGAAAUCCCCGGGCUGAACCUGGGAAAUGCAGUCGAAACUGGCAGGUUAGAGUCUUGUAGAGGGGGGUAGAAUUCCAGGUGUAGCGGUGGAAUGCGUAGAGAUCUGGAGGAAUACCGGUGGCGAAGGCGGCCCCCUGGACAAAGACUGACGCUCAGGUGCGAAAGCGUGGAGAGCAAACAGG
RNAcentral lists this ribosomal RNA (429 nucleotides) under Chloroflexota bacterium. Its description in RNAcentral is "Chloroflexi bacterium partial 16S ribosomal RNA". It matches the Rfam family "Bacterial small subunit ribosomal RNA", at positions 355 to 776 of the family's 1533-position model. The record is from RNAcentral. Lineage: Bacteria; Bacillati; Chloroflexota.